UUUUUUGAUGGAGUUUCUCUCUGGUUGCCCAGGCUAAAGUGCAAUGGUGUGAUCUCGGCUCACUGCAACCUCUGCCUCCCAGGUUCAAGUGAUUCUGCCUCAGCCUCCUGAGUAGCUGGGAUUACAGGCAUGUCCCACCAAGCCCAGACAUGAACUUAUGAAUUCAACACAUGAAGAUUUACAGCUUGACAAACCAGCUUCAGGAGGGAUUGUGCUGCAUUCGAACAUAGGUUCUGCCAUCAAACACAGAAUGCCCUGAUCCUUAGAGGCAGAGGCAGCUCUUCAGCCUAUGGGUGAGUGGUGGUUAGGGAGGAGCUGUCUUGGGGCUGUUCUGGAGCUGUUGAGGUCGGGUGUCUGUCUGGAUACUCACAGCCUAUCUGUUGAGGAGAAUGCAGUUCUCAUUGUGCUGCCUUUGGUGGUGCUGUGUGUGGCUUUUUAGAUGUGGGUGGAGGUGAGUUGGGGGAGUUAAUGAGAUCUUUUUUAGGUGCUUUUGAUAAAGUAGUCUGCACUAGAGGAUUCAUUGUGACUUUUUCCCUUAACCUGCACAUACUUCUCUGCUCACCCUUGCUGUCUUUCUCAUGUCUUUGAUUUUCCAAUCUCCUCUUGGUUGAAUUUACAUAAAGGCUCUGCUAUGGUUUAAAUGUGUCCCCCAAAGUUUAUGUGCUGGAAACUCAAUCCUCAAUGCAACAGUUGAGAUGUGGGGCCUAAUAAGACAGCCCUCAUGAAUGAAUUAAAGUUGUUAUUGUGGUAAUAGAUUAGUAAUGGGGAGUGCUCCCAGCAUUCCUGGGGCAUUCCUGUUUAUUAUCUCAAUACCUGGUGCUGAUGUUUCCUGUCCCUUAUCAGGAAUCCUGACUACUCUGUGUCUGAUGACUGGAACUUACCGAGCGCUGCUUAGUUGCAUCAUAGACACCACCUGUCUUUGAACAGCUACCCUGCCUCUUGAUGAGAAUGCAAAGGCUGCCAGGGGCCACUGCUGUAUGGAGUGGAUUUCGGUCAUUUCUGCUUAGAGCACAGAGCUCAAGCUGUUGGACUCGCCGAGGCAGUAAAAGUACCAUAUCCUGUGUUUGAAUCAAACUCCAAUUUCCUGUAUAUAGAAGGCUUGCCAGACAGGAUUCCCUUCCGAAGCCCUACCUGGUUUGGAAUUCCAUGACUUGAAAGGAUCCUUCGUGGGAGUAAUAAAAUCAAGUUUGUUGUUAAAAAGUAAAUUCUAGGCGGGACGUGGUGGCUCACAUCUGUAAUCCCAGCAAUUUGGGAGGCUGAGGCAGGCAGAUCACCUGAGGUCAGGAGUUUGAGACCAGCCUGGCAAACAUGGUGAAACCCCAUAUCUAUUAAAAAUACAAAGAAUUAGCUGGGCGUGGUGGCAGGUACCUGGAAACCCAGCUAUUUGGGAGGCUGAAACAGGAGAAUCACUUGAACCUGGGAGGCAGAGGCUGCAGUGAGCUGAGAUCACACCACAGCACUCCAGCCUGGGUGACAGAGUGAGACUCUGCGCUUUGCAGUCCCCAAAAAAACCAUGAAGCCCUGAGAGUAAUGAAAAGCUUCCUGACAUUGAGGUCACUGUGGAAGAUCAGAGGAUCAGAGAUCUCUCCUCUACACGAGGUGCCAUCCUUUCCUGAAGGAGCUCCUUGUAAAGUGCAUGAGGUGUUCCUUUUGGUAAAAAGACACACUGCGCAACCACAGAGACCUGAGCCUGAACCUAUAAAGAUUUGAACAAGAUCAGCGGCAACAUCAGAUUCUCGUGAGCACGAACCCUGUUGUGAACUGUGCAUGCAAGGGAUCUACCUUGCUCUGUCCUUAGGAGAAUCUAAUGCCUGAUGAUCUGUCACUGUCUCCCAUCACCCCCACAUGGGACCAUCUAGUUGCAGAAAAACAAGCUAAGGCCUCCCACUCAUUCUACAUUAUGGUCCUUAGCCGAGAUGUCUCACCCCACUCUCUAUGAUGCAACAAGAAGCCCCUGGGGAACGUUUCAGUCCCAGUCUGUACUAUUGUCAUGUGCUCAUCACAGUCUGAACCACCUAAGCUAAAGAUUCUUUUGAGAACAAGGGCUAGCCUGUGGUUUCAUGGCCUUUCUUCCAUUUGGGGUUCUUGCCAAGUGGAAUUUAAAUGACCUCUUAUCAAGAUGGAUAAACCCAAGUUUCCCAGUGCUGGAAUACAGAAAAUGGAUGGACAAGUAAGUCCCACUCAGCACCCAUAGCCCAGACAUGGGGACCUCAACACACCUGGGCCCCAGACAUCACCUUUCAUU
Molecule: long non-coding RNA, 2245 nt
Filed under: Homo sapiens (human)
Lineage: Eukaryota; Metazoa; Chordata; Mammalia; Primates; Hominidae
Description: non-protein coding lnc-TMEM248-4:6
Source: RNAcentral